CGUGUGUACGAUGCUCCGCUGGCAAUUCGUACGAUCUGCGUCAUUGACCAAUGGCACGGACGAUACACUGCUGAAAACAAUUAGGGGAUCACGAUUCAGGAGAGUGAAUCGGGGAUUAAAGAAAUCUCGUGCGAUACGAUUGAUUGGCACUGUUUAUCAGGCAACAUUUUCAGAGUCGUUCGUCAACCAUUCCUUGAAAUCUGCGAUUGGAUCGCUGGUAUAGUUGGUGGAUAACGAUUCAUUUGAGUCUGAUGCAAGUGGUCCAUGAACACCAAACCAAGCUGGUCAAUUCGAUACAUAUAACACAGACAUCUUUGGUACCGGAAAUGUCUUUUUUUUUGGAAACCCUGACGCACUGAAACCACCAUAACGUCGACGUUUUCGAAAAUUUGUCAAUAAAAUUUUGAAAAGUCGUUGCUGGAAAUGUAUACUGUAAAACGAUAUUGGCAUUAACUCGGAUCUUCUUGUCAGUUCCUAUUCUUCGAGUAAAGCGGCAAUGACAGCUGGAUCGCCAAGUGUGUCAUUUUUAAUUACUUUACGAGACGCCCCCCUCCCCCAAAGAAGCUUCCGUAAACCGAUACUGAUAGUAUUUAAAGUAAUUAAUUAAUCAUCGACAAUGAAAUGUAAUAUUACUUAUUAUAGAAUCACAGAGCAACUUUGUUAAAAUAAUCUACAAUGUUUCGAUUGUUGCAUAUGAUCCUCUUAAUUAUUAGACUGCAGAUGUUUCUAUAAAUUUAGUAAAGUAUGUCUUAUCUUCUACACAGUUUAACACAUGAUUUAUUUUCCGUCUCUGUUAAAUUUCUUCUCUGUUAAAUAUCUUCUAAACAAUGUAAUUUUAUGUUUUUCCAUUCAUGCACAAUUUUCCAUGUAUUUUCUGACAAUUUCACUAGCCAUGAAUACAUAAGCAUCCCCAGUCUAAUAAUCACAGACAAUCCACAUGACUCGUUGAAGGAUACGAAGAAUUUCUUGGUUGCAUCCUACGACAUCGAAAUGAAGUUUAACACGUUGGUCUCCAGAAAUAGAUGACAGGACAUUUCAUUAAGGAACUAAAGAAAUUAAUUCCAAAAUUAAGGAUAAUGAAAAUAAAUUUGGAGAGGAUUUGUGAAUUAAAUAAGUUAAACAAUUAAAUACUACUACAACAAACGUUGAAUUAUCUAAUAUGCAGCAGUCUCGAUGGGAAAUUUUAAACUUGGAGAAAUUUUCACGAGUUUUUAGUUCGACAGCCAACGUGUUAAUCAACUAAUCUAGAAUCGAAUCGUUGAUCAUCGUAAUAGUAGAAAGAGUCGAAACCAAGAUGUUCUUACCCAACGUUUACAUGUCAACAAACGUGCUUUUUAAUGAAAAGUAUCGUUCACGAAUCGGAGCGAAGGACGAGCUUUUACGCUUUGCUCGAUGUCGUCGAGCCUGAUCUCGGUCAGAUGCGCGGCUUUAUUAAAAAUUCUUGCCUAUUGCCACCGGCGCAACAGCCAAGUCCGUCGAGAGCAUUGAAAGGAACUCACAAAUUACAUUAUUAGUACCCUCAGACACGCGUCACUGUCUAAUUCGGCACGGACGAGCGUAGACAAUAUCGUACGUCAUCGAGCGGUACCAUUUUCGUACCUUUCGCGAUAGUUUUCGUUCCAAAUAGAAAAUUCGAAGGGAGAACGCCGUGCCUUCGCUUCGCUAUUAAUUACUUCUCGUUUGAAAGCACAGAAUCGUCUUACGUUCGACGCAAGUACGCGCGUACUAUGUAAACUUGUAAAACUAAUUUAUACCGACUGUUUAUCAUUAUUCGCUAAUAAUCGAUUUAUAAUUCAUGACUUUCAUGCCGCCGAGCGAUGACGUUUGAGGCCAAUAUGCCGAUGCCUUUUGUCGAUAUUGCCCGUUUAUCAUUUUUAUUAUUCUUGUAACAUUUUGUUCAAAUUACUUGGUUUAAAUUAUAUCUAACUCGUUUAUUCGUCGUUUGUUAAAUGAAAAUUAGACUUUGAAUUCUAAAAUGAAAAUGUAUUUCGCAAUA
Molecule: long non-coding RNA, 1996 nt
Organism: Hylaeus anthracinus
Lineage: Eukaryota; Metazoa; Arthropoda; Insecta; Hymenoptera; Colletidae
Exons: 3
Source: RefSeq, a predicted model, not a curated record